Molecule: long non-coding RNA, 2149 nt
Organism: Aphis gossypii (cotton aphid)
Lineage: Eukaryota; Metazoa; Arthropoda; Insecta; Hemiptera; Aphididae
Exons: 3
Source: RefSeq, a predicted model, not a curated record
AUUUUUAAUUUUCUCACAUUAAUUGUAUAGUAAUCAUAGAUGGUAGUAUGACAUUAUUAUUUAUUACCUACCUCAAAUAAAUAUAUGUUUUUUUGUGUUUUUAGUUUUUAACAAAAUUAAAUUUUGUAUCUAAAACAAUUCAACUAUAUUUAUAUAUCAAAACAAGGGCAUAUUGAAAAGCAAAAGCAAUCUUCCAAUGGUUAUACUCUUAACAAAAAUUCAAUGAUGAAAAUAUAAUCACUAUGCGUAUAUUGAAAAUGUGGAAGGUACAUUUUGAAAAGAUACAUUUGGAAAAUUAAAUAUAGGCACCUGCCGUGUAUAAGGUGAAAGUUUCCCAUACAAAAUGCAUUAUAUCUUUCCCAGAUCGUCAAUCGUACGAUAACAUUUAAUCAAAUUAAUGGAAAAGUAACAACCAGUUGCGGAGUAGUAAUCGUUUCAAGUCUUAACACACGUGUAUUUUAUAUAGCAUGAUAUCAAUGAAUACAUUAAUAUGCAUAUAGACUUGCAGUACUUAUCGAGGAACUUAUGUAAGUAAUUUCAAGGCAACAAUUAACAAAGUUUUAAUAUAAUAAUAAUAUCUAAUUUUACCAUGCAUGUUCAGUCUUCAGUGGGGCCCAUUAUCUCUUGAAUAGUAAAAAUGGUAAUUAUUUAAAAUGUAAAUACUUGUAUAGCCAUAUCUAUACCAUAACAAUUGCAGUUAUAUAUUAUAAUCGGCUUGAUUAAGUGUUUCAUAUAAUUAAUGUAAUUCAUUCUGAAAUAAAUUUAUUUUACAUUUCAAAUAAUGAGUUUCUAAUUAAAAGCAGCAUUAUCAAAUAAAGAAUAUUUUAUCAUAAUGUAUAUGUAUGAAUAAAAUAUUGAAGAUAUACGUUAUGGGUCUCAUAUUAUAUGUUAGCCUAAUAAACUCGUUUGGCAUACAACCUACAUAAUUUUCCUAACAAUAGGUUUUUCCAACAUUGGAAAAAUGUUGGAAAAACACUUAUGAAAUCACAUUUGUGAUUUAUUGAUUUCCUAACAAAAUAAUUAAUUAGUAACUUUUAAUUGACCAACGGUAUUGUUUUAAUUCACAUUUUCACUAUAUUUAUUAUAAUAAUACAAGUUGUAAGAAAUACGAUUUUCAAGUUCAAAUUUACCUUUGUUGGUAAAUUGUUAUGCAUUACGUAAAUUAUAUAAAAAUAGUAUGUAGAAAUAAUAUAAGUACCUACCUAUCCAAGUGCCCAACCAACUUAUAAUAAAAAUAUUAAUAUAACUAAUAUAUUAAUGUUAUAACAUUAACAUACCAUUAUUCUUAUAUAGGAUUAGGUAUGAUAAAUACAAAUGGAUAUGUUUUUCUCGACAAAAAUCUAUCAAUUAGAAUUUUACAAAUAAUGUUGUUUACAACUAAGUAUAAUAUUUUACAUUUAAAACAAAAUAAUUAUUAGAUCAUGUAGGGAACCUUCAAAACGCGAAUAUCCAUGAUAUGAUACGCAUACAAGUUAUUUUUUUCACCUAGAAAAAAGUGUAUAAAAUAAAAUUCAAGCAUCUACUCUUAGUAAAAUAUACUUGGAAAUUAUGUCAUAUUAUCGAGGUUGCAUUUUUAAUCUUUCCAAAAUACCAGAUACAUUUUAUGAACUGAUUCCCAAAAAAAUUACAAAAAUAAUACAAUGGUUUGAGUAUAAUUAUUAUAUCAGCUGUAUGGCGUAGAGUUAUUAGAAUAAUGAGAUUUGGUUAUAUAACAGCUCUUUUAUGUACAAUAAAAUUUGUCUGCGCGUGCAAUAACCACCCCCAAAGAGCCUCAGUUUGUAACAAACAAACUUCUCCACGACGACCUAUAAAUCAAUACUAUCUGAAAAAUGGCUAACAUAAUUUACAAGAGGUUUCCCAACGAACUUCAAACAAACAUCAACUGCCUGAUCUCGCAGACAGCUUCGAAGACACUCCCGGACAAUCCGAUAAGACGACUAAAACGCAAUAACUGAAGGAUUAGAGACCUACUUAGCUUAUAAAACAAAUUGUAUGCUACUUAAUAAUGUAAAGUUUACACUGUAAACCAAUGUAAUCAAUGUAUAGAAGGUGAUAUCGACGGCAAGUCUUCUUUCAACCCCCUUCACAAUCAUUUACACUUUGAUCAAAUUUAUUAAUUAAUACUCAUCGUAUAUAGUUCACAAAAAAC